Molecule: long non-coding RNA, 1116 nt
Filed under: Chrysolophus pictus (golden pheasant)
Lineage: Eukaryota; Metazoa; Chordata; Aves; Galliformes; Phasianidae
Description: lncRNA (ENSCPIG00010013800.1)
Source: RNAcentral
CUUUCUGCAUUUGUUACUUGGGCUGUGCGAGCAUCCUUUGGAAAAAGAGGGAAGAUCAGGAUCGCUGUCUAUCAGAUUGUCAGCCUCUCUUCCUGGUGUCCCACCCGCAGUCUCCCAGACAGAUUUGUUUGCUACCUGAGCCCCUCUGCAGUGAGCAACCUGAGCAGGGAUGAUUCUUUGAGCUUGGCCCAGAGGAUCAGUAAGAGCUGCACCUUGAACACAACGCUCGGAAAAAUAAAAGGAAAAGGAGCUCCUUCCUUCCUGACAACAGAGGAACUGCAGGCUGUAUCUUCUUUGUUGGGGAACGUUGAGCGUUUCACUCCUGCGGUGCUGCGGGUGUUGGGCCAGAUUGCUGUUGGGCUGUCUGUUUCUGACAUCGAAAAUAAGAUCAGUGGGGAAGACCUGGAAGCAUCAAUUCCUACCCUGGGUAAAGUUCGUGGCUGGAAUGCUGACCAGUCCAGUGCUAUUAUCAACAAACUGCUCAGCUCUGGCUAUCAGAUUUCUUCUGGACAGAGCUUGGCAAAGCUAGGGAGCUUGGUGGCUGGCCUCAACAGCAGCACGCUUCGAAGCCUGCCUCCAGAAGUGAUCUUGGAAGCCAUUAAGUUGCCUGAGUUUGUUCAGCAAAUAGCAGCCCUGCCCUCUCCUCUGAAGAGGAUAUUUGUGGAAAAGAUUUCUUCCAGUGUAAGCAAUCCAGCUGACCUGGUUAAACUUAUCCCUGGUGCUCUGGCCAGUUACAUUCCAAAAUCAUUGCUUAUUUUUGAGGAUGAGAAGCUCAGCAUUGAGGAUCUCAACAGUAAAAUGUGGACCCGAGAGCAGGCUGCCAUGUUUUUCAGAGAUGUGAUAAAGACAGAGCCUGACUUCAGCAGGCUUUCCCAGUCAGUCCUUCAAGGCUACACAUGUGCAGUUGCCAAUGAAAUGGAACCAGAGAGAGUUCAGGAGCUGGCCAAAGUCAUGAAGAAGAAGAAUGUCAAGCUAGGAGCAGACCAGCUGAGUUGCUUAGUGAAGAUGGUGAUGCUGCGUGGGAUUCCUAAGGACUUGGAUAGUUAUCCUAAAGACCUGUUGCUAUUUUUAAGGUAAAUUUGCUAUCAUUUUUCAUCUUGUUGCUUUAGUCCUGAA